This 31-nucleotide small RNA is filed under the name Bombyx mori (domestic silkworm). RNAcentral's name for it is "ovarian small RNA-2327". Lineage: Eukaryota; Metazoa; Arthropoda; Insecta; Lepidoptera; Bombycidae. The record is from RNAcentral.
UUAAUAAUGAUACGGGGCAUAAUGGGCCCUC